RNAcentral lists this ribosomal RNA (484 nucleotides) under uncultured bacterium. RNAcentral describes it as "partial 16S ribosomal RNA". It matches the Rfam family "Bacterial small subunit ribosomal RNA", at positions 30 to 507 of the family's 1533-position model. The record is from RNAcentral.
AUUGAACGCUGGCGGCAUGCCUAACACAUGCAAGUCGAGCGGAUGAAGGGAGCUUGCUCCUGGAUUCAGCGGCGGACGGGUGAGUAAUGCCUAGGAAUCUGCCUGGUAGUGGGGGAUAACGUCCGGAAACGGGCGCUAAUACCGCAUACGUCCUGAGGGAGAAAGUGGGGGAUCUUCGGACCUCACGCUAUCAGAUGAGCCUAGGUCGGAUUAGCUAGUUGGUGGGGUAAAGGCCUACCAAGGCGACGAUCCGUAACUGGUCUGAGGGGAUGAUCAGUCACACUGGAACUGAGACACGGUCCAGACUCCUACGGGAGGCCGCAGUGGGGAAUAUUGGACGAUGGGCGAAAGCCUGAUCCAGCCAUGCCGCGUGUGUGAAGAAGGUCUUCGGAUUGUAAAGCACUUUAAGUUGGGAGGACGGGCAGUAAGUUAAUACCUUGCUGUUUUGACGGUACCAACAGAAUAAGCACCGGCUAACUUCGUG